RNAcentral lists this ribosomal RNA (254 nucleotides) under uncultured bacterium. RNAcentral's name for it is "partial 16S ribosomal RNA". It matches the Rfam family "Bacterial small subunit ribosomal RNA", at positions 524 to 776 of the family's 1533-position model. The record is from RNAcentral.
UACGUAGGGACCAAGCGUUGUUCGGAUUUACUGGGCGUAAAGGGCGCGUAGGCGGCAAUUCAAGUCAUCUGUGAAAUCUCCGGGCUUAACCCGGAACGGUCAGAUGAUACUGCUUUGCUAGAGUGCAGAAGGGGCAAUCGGAAUUCUUGGUGUAGCGGUGAAAUGCGUAGAUAUCAAGAGGAACACCUGAGGUGAAGACGGGUUGCUGGGCUGACACUGACGCUGAGUGCGCGAAAGCCAGGGGAGCAAACGGG